AAGAAAACCCUAAGGCAGAUGGUGAAUGCCUCGGGAGAUUAAGGCGAUGAAGGACGUGGGGUGACUGCGAUAAGCCUCGGGGAGGUGUCUACCAACCCUUGAUCCGGGGAUUUCCGAAUGGGGAAACCCAGCAUGGCCUAAAAACCAUGUUGUCUCUCACUGUUAAGUGAGAGAAGCGUACCCGCUGAACUGAAACAUCUAAGUAAGCGGAGGAAAGUAAACAAUUCCCUUAGUAGCGGCGAGCGAAGAGGGAGAAGCCCAAACCUCAAAAGAUAUUUAUAUCUUUAUGGGGGGUUGUAAGUGAGAUAAAUACCAGGGCGCAAGUUCUGGCAGAGUCCUAAUAAAAUAUGAUUUGGUUAGUCGAAUCACCCUGGAAAGGGGAGCCAAAGAUGGUGAUAGCCCAGUAGGCGAAAAUCAUCAUAUUACUCUGGUUAUCUUUACUUGAGUACCGCUCGGAAAUGAAAUUCCUGCGGGAAGCAGGCUAAACUACUAGCCAAGGCUAAAUACUUAAUCUCACCAAUAGUGGACCAGUACCGUGAGGGAAAGGUGAAAAGCAGGGAGGUGAUCCCGGUGAAACAGAACCUGAAACCAUCUGCCGACAAGAAAUCAGAGCCCCGCCCGUUAGGGCGAGGUGAUGGUGUACCUUUUGGAGCAGGCACCAACGAGUUUGUUCACUCUCUUAGUCUAAGUCCUUCUGGGACGGAGGCAUAGAGAAAUCGAGUGUGAAUAGCGCGUUCCUCACCUUUUUAUAACCUUAUCUUGUGUUUGGUUUGAAAGAUAAAUCUUUCUUAAUCUGGAGAAGAUUAAGUCGGAUUAUCCAAUCAAGCAGAGGGUAAAAAAGGUGAGAAUAGAGAGUGUUCAAGACCCGAAACCAGGCGAGCUUGCCAUGGCCAGGGUGAAUCUCGCCGAAAGGCGAGAGGAGGCCCGAACCCGUGAAUCGUGCAAAAUUCUGGGAUGAGCUGUGGUAAGAGGUGAAACGCCAAUCGAGCUUGGUAAUAGCUGGUUCUCCCCGAAAUAGCUUUAGGGCUAGCCUAGAGAAUCAAGGAAUAGAGGUAGAGCACUGGAAGAGAUGUCGUGGCGCAAGCUAGGCAUUUCUACUAAACUCCGAAUUCUAUUCCCAUAGUCUCUAGAGUCAGAACUUGGACGCUAAUGUCCAAGGUCAAGAGGGAAACAACCCAGACCUUCAUCUAAGGUCCCUAAAUUUGAGCUAAGUGAGAAAGGAGGUGGAAUUCCUCAGAUAGUUAGGAGGUGAGCCUAGAAGCAGCUAACCUUUAAAAAGUGCGUAACAGCUUACUAACUAAGGGAUUCUGCGCCAAAGAUGUAUCGGGACUCAAGCUCAAUACCGAAGAUAAGGCUCUGUAUCUUAUGAUGCAGGGGGUAGGGGAGCGUUCUCAGGGCAGUGAAGUUCCGUCGUGAGGCGGGGUGGAGCGCUGAGAAGUGAGAAUGUUGGUAUGAGUAACCGCAAUCAGGGUGAGAUCCCCUGACACCGAAAACCUCAGGUUUCCUUGGCAAUGACAAUCAGCCAAGGGUUAGGCGGUCCUAAGGGAAAGCCAAAUGGUGUACCCGAUGGACAGUCGGUUAAUAUUCCGACCCAUCCGUUAGAUAAAAUCAAGAGGACGAAGAGUAGUACGCUGAACGUAUUAUUGGAUUUACGUUUGUAACAUAAGUUUCGACAAGUGUUAUAAGAAUUCUUCUCUUCGGAGAAGGAGACUCAGCAGAGCGCUCUUCCCGGAAAAGUCUUGACUAUACUAUCUAUCGGAUUCCGUACCGCAAAACCGACACAGGUAGGUUAGUGUAAGUGUACUAAGGUGAACGGGUGAAACCUCGUUAAGGAACUCGGCAAAAAAGUGGUCGUAACUUCGGGAGAUGGCCUUCCGCCGUCAUGGCGGACGCAGUUAACGUUUCUUUGGCGACUGUUUUUCAAAAACACAGGUCCCUGCUAAACUCGAAAGAGGAUGUAUAGGGGCUGACGCCUGACCAGUGCUGGAACGUUAAGCUUUCCAGUUAUCUUGUGCUUGUCAUAGGAUAGCCGAGAGAGUGAAGCUUCCAGUGAACGUCCGCGGUAACUAUAACCGUGUUAAAGUAGCGAAACCCCUUGUCGGGUAAUUUCCGACCCGCAUGAAAGGCGUAACGACUGAAGAACUGUCUCAACGAGGAGCCCGGUGAAAAUACAGUAAGGGUGAAGAUGCCCUUUACCUGCGGCUAGACGAAAAGACCCCGGGAGCUUUACUGUAGUCAGAUAUUGGAUUUUGAUUUUGGAUGCGUAGCGUAGAAGGGAGACUUUGAGGUCUGGCUUCCGGGCCAGGCGGAGUCGCCAAUGAAACACCUUCCUUCCAAAGGCUUGGUUCUAAUCCCGUUUUACGGGAGACAGUGUUUGGCAGACAGUUUAGGUGGGGUCCUUGCCUCCUAAAAAGUAACGGAGGCGCUUAAAGGUCGGCUAAGUACGGAUGGAAGUCGUACGGAUAGGACAAAGCCAUAAGCCGGCUUUACUGCGAGCGAGAUAUCGCGAGCAGUUGGGAAACCAGAACUUAGUGAACCGACGGUUGCUCGUAGGAGCGCCGGAGAUUAACAGCUAAAAGUUACCCCGGGGAUAACAGGCUAGUCGGGCCCGCGAGUCCUUAUCAACGGCCCGGUUCGGCACCUCGAUGUCGGCUCACCACAUCCUGGAGGCGAAGAAGCUUCCAAGGGUCGGUCUGUUCGCCCGUUAAAGUGGUUCGUGAGCUGGGUUCAGAACGUCGUGAGACAGUUCGGUCUCUAUCUACCGCAGGCGUUUGAGUCUUGAAGGGAGUUGGUCUCAGUACGAGAGGACCAGAUUGAACUAACCUCUAGUGUGCCAGCUGUUCCGCCAGGAGCACUGCUGGGUAGCUACGUUAGGAAGGGAUAAGUGCUGAAAGCAUCUAAGCACGAAGCCUCCCCUAAGAUUAGGACUCAUAGACCCCUCAGAGAUGAUGAGGUUGAUAGGCUGUAGGUGUAAGUGGGGCAACCCAUUUAGCCGAGCAGUACUAAUCGGUCAUU
Molecule: ribosomal RNA, 3015 nt
Filed under: Candidatus Nealsoniibacteriota bacterium
Lineage: Bacteria; Candidatus Nealsoniibacteriota
Description: Candidatus Nealsonbacteria bacterium 23S ribosomal RNA
Rfam family: Bacterial large subunit ribosomal RNA
Source: RNAcentral